RNAcentral lists this long non-coding RNA (2637 nucleotides) under Salvia miltiorrhiza (redroot sage). RNAcentral's name for it is "long non-coding RNA (SMIL_LNC012151)". The record is from RNAcentral. Lineage: Eukaryota; Viridiplantae; Streptophyta; Magnoliopsida; Lamiales; Lamiaceae.
CGCGCUUGACCUUAAUCACGAGAAUAUAAAAUAAGACAUUGCCUCGAGGAAAAUUCUUAAUUAAUGAGAAAGCGUAAUUUAACUAUGCAUGAAUCUGGUAUGCAUGAACUAAUCUUCUGAGCGAUAAUCGGGAAUUCUACUAUUUAUCCUCGUUAAUAGAUUUAACUAACUUCCGUCCAACGCGGUCGAAUAGAGCUGUGAUUCUCCUUUCCCAUCGAAAUAUUCUAAUUGUAAAAUAGAUCUCGCAUUUGUACUCGAUCGAAAAUAAAGAACUAACUCGGCUUUAAUCGAGGUGUGAUCUUGUAAAAAUUAUCGGGCUUUUCAAAAUUUAAUAAAUAAUUGAAAACAUUUCUCUUGAGUUAAGAACACCAACAAUAUUCUUACUCGUCUUUCUUUAAUAAUUGGAUUUAUAAUUAAAACCAAUUAAAUACUUUUAUUGCAAGUAAAAAUGCAAUUUCAUGUCAUGCUUAGCAUAUAAUAAGUAAUUUACUUAAAAUAUGCACAUAAUAAUAAUACAAUAUUAUUAUUAUGUAAAUCAUCUUUAGAGAAAAAUAAUUAAUUAAACUAAAUAAAUAGUCUAAUUAAUAAGUAUCCAUUUUUCUUUGAACUGCAGCCCAAUUAAAUAAUAAGGUAGUCCAUUUCUUUAAAAAAAACAUAAGCCCAAUGUUUCAAUUUAAAUCAGGGCCCAAAGACUUUAAUAAAAUCGGCCCAAAGACUUUAAUAAAAUCGGCCCAUAGCCAAAGCCCAAUACCAUUUAAACACCAGCCCAAUCUUUUAAAAGAUAAAGGCCCAAUUAAAAUAAAUGAAGAGGGCCAAAUUCCAUUUAAAAAUCGGCCCAUCACUUAUUAAAAAUCGGCCCAAGACUCGGCCCAAAAUAAAGAAAUAAUGAAGCCCAAAGAAAAUAAAAUAAAGGCCCAAUUAUAAUAAAUACAACAAGGCCCAAAAAUAAAUAGGAGGCCCAAAUUUUCGGCCCAACUCAAUUAAAUUAAAAUCAAGCCCAACAUAAAAAAAAAAACCCCAAAUCUUUAAAAAUUUCGGCCCAACUUAAAAUAAAAAGAAGCCCAAAAUUCGGCCCACAUAAAAUGGCCCAAAUCCUUCCUUAUCUCUCCCACUCGGUCUCUCUCUCUCUCAGACGCACGCUUCUCUCUUUUCUCUCUCACUGAAAAACUCAAAAUCCAGUCGAGCUCUCUCGACCUCGGCUCCGACGAGGUUGCCGGCGUCGCCGCCGCCUAAGCCCGGCAAGGUCGUGCCUCCUCCCUUUUUCCUAUCAGUCGGAUCUCUCUCUCUUUCCUCCCCAAAAUCUGCUCUUCUUCUUGAUUCAAAAACCAGUCGAUCGGCCCUUCCCAGCUCGCUCGACGUCUUCUUCUCCGGCCAUCCAGCCGCCUGCUCCGGUCGUCGUCAUCUGUCGACGCGUCAAAUCCCCGGCGCCGUCCUCUUUCCUCCCCCAACAUCGAGCCCUGAUUCUCAAGGAAUCAUUGCUGCUGCUGCUUCUACCCUUUCGAAAUUGGGCGGCCGGUCGCCGUCUGGGAGCGGCGUUGCUCUGGCCUGGAGCCCGUCGGCCUCCUCUCCUUCCGGCCGCUCUCUCUCUUUCUCGGCCAAGAUCUGAUCGGCCCUCUUCCUCGGUUGUUCAGCGGCCAUCGGUUCCGGUCUCUCUCCCUCACGCUGAAGUUCCGCCGCCGCCUUGUGAAGGCCGGCGAGCAGGGGAGUGUCCGACGCCCUCAUCGCGCCGCUGCUGCCCUUGGAAUGGUGCCGCUGUUCUUCCCGGCGGCAGGUGAAAGGCUCGCCGAUCCGCUGCUGUCCUUGGAUCGUUGUUGCUGUUUGGGGUCCCGAUGAGGUUCGAGUUGCGUCACGCCGCCUUCUUCCUCCGUUCCGGUCCGGAUUCAGAUGUCAAAGCAGGCGGGGAGUCGAGCCUUGUUCUUUUCCGCCUCUGCCGCCAUGGUUCUGCCGCCAUCUCCACCGUUUGUGGAAGAUCAGCGAUUCAGCGCCGUUGUUUCGUUCGUGACGCUGCUGCUGUUGUCACGCAAUUUCCGCCGAGGCAGCAGGAGAUGCCGCUGAAAUCUGUCCUCUGCUCAAGAACCGGCUCAAGCCUCACUCUCUCCCUUUUUCUAUUGAAUUAUGGUAUUUCUAUAAUUGAUUAUGCAAGAGAUAAAACUAAGUUCGUGGUUUACUAAUGUAUCAAGAAAUUUCCUUGCUUGCCUCGUGUGAUAAGAAAAUAUAGCAUAAACUGAUUUCUGCCUAAAGAUCAUAUGAGUUUGCUAAGUCUCUUUAUGAAUAUACUCAUUGUAUGCUUAGUAUCCUUUAAUCGAUCAUGCUUGUUGGAUGAAAAACGAAUGGAUUGAAUGAGCUGAGCCUAGUGUUUACCUUGUAUAUUUGUGCUUGAUUGGCUGAUCUGUUUUCUUCUUCUUGGUGAAAAUUUGUUGGCAUAUACUGUUUGAAUAAGGAGAUCUCGGAGAUUAUAGAUGUUAUUUCGGGUGUUUUUUUCUGUGUGAAACUUGGUUUUGAUGUUGGCAUGAGCUUGCUGUAAACAUUCUGUUGGAAUAUACGAAUUGGAUUUUCUUAAACAGCUCCACUGGCGAUCUAUUGAGUAAGAAGGGAGAAGGAUUUGGUGGGGAGCAAAAGAUAAUGGAGUUGGUGGAG